GGCUUGGUGGUCUAGUGGUAUGAUUCUCGCUUAGGGCCCACCCUACAGCAUAGCGCAUGCGAGAGGUCCCGGGUUCAAUCCCCGGCCAAGCCC
Non-coding RNA from Diplogelasinospora grovesii, 93 nucleotides. Lineage: Eukaryota; Fungi; Ascomycota; Sordariomycetes; Sordariales; Diplogelasinosporaceae. The record is from the annotation of a GenBank genome assembly.